RNAcentral lists this small RNA (1020 nucleotides) under Pan troglodytes (chimpanzee). Its description in RNAcentral is "processed transcript". The record is from RNAcentral. Lineage: Eukaryota; Metazoa; Chordata; Mammalia; Primates; Hominidae.
CGAGGGAAGUCGGCGAGAGGGAGACUGGGUUGGGGGAGGGGUUCCGGCCUGUUCCCCGCGGCUGCGGCAGCACCAGCGCCGGCCGCCACCGCCUCUAGAACGCGGAGGAGGUGGGUCCUGGGAAGCGGGAUGUCCAUCGCUCCAGCUUGGUGGUGAAUGCUGAGGAGAGUCACUGUUGCUGCAGUCUGUGCCACCCGGAGGAAGUUGUGUGAGGCCGGGCGGGAGCUCGCGGCGCUCUGGGGAAUCGAAACGCGGGGUCGGUGCGAAGACUCUGCUGCUGCCAGACCCUUUCCUAUUCUGGCCAUGCCUGGAAGGAACAAGGCGAAGUCUACCUGCAGCUGCCCUGACCUGCAGCCCAAUGGACAGGAUCUGGGCGAGAACAGCCGAGUUGCCCGUCUAGGAGCGGAUGAAUCUGAGGAAGAGGGACGAAGGGGGUCUCUCAGUAAUGCCGGGGACCCUGAGAUCGUCAAGUCUCCCAGCGACCCCAAGCAAUACCGAUACAUCAAAUUACAGAAUGGCUUGCAGGCACUUCUGAUUUCAGACCUAAGUAAUAUGGAGGGUAAAACAGGAAAUACAACAGAUGAUGAAGAAGAAGAGGAGGUGGAGGAAGAAGAAGAAGAUGAUGAUGAAGAUUCUGGAGCUGAAAUAGAAGAUGAUGAUGAAGAGGGUUUUGAUGAUGAAGAUGAGUUUGAUGAUGAACAUGAUGAUGAUCUUGAUACUGAGGAUAAUGAAUUGGAAGAAUUAGAAGAGAGGGCAGAAGCUAGAAAAAAAACUACUGAAAAACAGGUGCGAGUCAUGUCUGUUUUCUUCUAAUUUGGGAAUUCUUUGGGUAACUUCUAAACUCAAGCUUUAUUUUUUAAUGGCAAAAAGGAAGUAUAUAGUUAUCUUUUGGUCUUCAGUAAAGGUCUAUUCUGUAUCAGGAUUACAUUUUGAAAACAUUUUCCUCCAAUUAUAAAAGUAGUAAAUGCUCAUUAUAUAAACUAAUGGAAUAUAAAGAAAACAAAAAUAUAAAAAUCACCC